UCUCUCUCUCUCUUACUCACUCAUCUCACCCAUGGUCACAAGGCACGGUCAUACAAGCGGGUUAGGGUGAGUCAACCCGUUGGGUAAGUGAACACGAACACAGGGGGACUCGACUCAGUUGGAGGCAGGUGUGGAGGAGGGCAAGGCAGGUUUGUUAGCGAGUUGCCAGGCGGAGGUGGCAAUGAGGGGGCGAGUGUGCCAACCCAGCAUCAGACACCCAUUGUUCUCCUCCACCCUGUACCCAUCCCCACCCGCGAAUAGAGCCAGCAGCAUACUCGCUUGCUUGAAAGCGUUGGACCCUAGGUUCACUGGGUCGAACCCCGCCGAUCCCAACCGGGCUCUCCACUGAGCCAGCGUUUCGUGCCGCUCCACUCGCUCAGGCCCCUCGCAGGCCACCACGUUACAGAUCUGUUGCCCCAAGUAUACCUCCGACAUCAGCUUGUCCUGGGUGUUCACCGGCGACACACCACACCCUUCCAAUGAGUCAAACAGAGUGGAGUAGUAGUGAAGCGACUCGGUGAACCGGUCUAGGAAAACGGGGCCGUUGUGGUUGGC
This 555-nucleotide long non-coding RNA is filed under the name Vitis vinifera (wine grape). RNAcentral's name for it is "long non-coding RNA (VVIN_LNC000079)". The record is from RNAcentral. Lineage: Eukaryota; Viridiplantae; Streptophyta; Magnoliopsida; Vitales; Vitaceae.